Sebastes umbrosus (honeycomb rockfish) is the source of this 1763-nucleotide long non-coding RNA. RefSeq lists it as uncharacterized. NCBI's taxonomy places the organism in Eukaryota, Metazoa, Chordata, Actinopteri, Perciformes, Sebastidae. The record is from RefSeq and is a predicted model, not a curated record. The transcript is spliced from 4 exons.
GGGUUUCGCCCUGCUAACACUGAAGUGAGGACUGGUGUGGGCUGGCCAGCAGACAGUAAGAGCUUUCUCUCCUGGGCUGGAAGGUGCUGGUUCAUCCUCUAAAUCUGUUGAUGAAGUGCUGGAGUCUGUGGGAGACUACACAAGAACAUGAGAUUUUGCUGUGGAGCGUCUGUCCAAGGCCAAACUGAGUGUGACGACAAGGCUGCCGGGUCCUGUGAUGUGUGCUACCUGGGAUUUCCUUUACAGAUGGUGCUGCUUGAUCAUGAAACUCCAUUUGGAAAUGUGUUAUUUGUUGUUAAGAACUGCUGUUAAUCACCACAGGUCUGCCAUGGAUUACUGUGAUGUCACUAUUUUGGUGUGAGCGCCAUCUUUUGGCCAACUUGGACUACUUCAAUUCUUCCUUCAGUCCAUGAGGAGGAACCACAGAGACAUGAGCUGCAUCUCAUUUCCCGAUUUUUUUUUUGCCUCCUCGAUCUUCCAGCUGUGACCCGGAAAUCGAUCUCAGCGCUCCAUCUUGAAGGACGUCCCAAUUCCUAAAAUGCAUCUCGAGGAGCGAGGAUCGAGGAGGCUUGCCGGAGGAGCCAUGAGCGAGGAUACACCAGUGUAUCCUCCAGUGUAUCAAUUCAAUUCAAUUCAUCUUUAUUGACAGACUUGAAGUCCAUUAUAAAACAUACAACACAAACAACAAUACAUACAUUAAAAUAGAAACUGCCACUUUUUACAAAAGACAGUUAUACCAGUGAGUCUUGUGAAGGGCUCAUUGCAUGGGUGGAAAAAAGUACAAAAUGCAAGUCUCCAUCAAAAAUAAUCCAAGGCACACUGUAGUGUUUGAACAAAAUUAAAAGGCCUUUAUUUUACAUGGCAAUAAUUGCUUAAAAUGACCAACGCGUUGCGACCAACAUAUAGGUCUUCAUCAGGGUCACUGUGAGCAUUCAGCAGUAGCUUGCACACCUAUAUUUUGUUAUACUAAUCAGUAGAGUUGGAGGGUGGUUCUCUGUCAAUGAGCAAGCCUAUUGGUGGAAAAACAAGGAAAUGACACAUCACCAAUAGGGAGGAGAAAGAGAAGAAAAAAGGAAAAAGGGGAAAGAAGAAGGGAAGGGAGGGGAAUUAAAAGGAAGUGAAGGAAAGAGGAGAUGAGAGGUAAAAAUAAAUGACUAAACUAAAAACAAAUAUGAUAUGAGACAAUGUGACUACUAAGUCAAGGUGGACCCAAUACUUUCUUAUGUAGGUCUACACAUGAUGAGUUCCUCAAUAUAUAACUAUAGUCUCAUCCACAUUUUUCUGCCUACAAACACACAUUGACUACAAAAUGACCUUACCCUUAAAUAGUUCAAUAUAUUCAAAUACAAUUUUUAUACAGUGUUAUUCCUGAAGUGAUAAUUCACAGAAAAGGAGAAAAGUCUAUCUCCUCAUUGAGGCCGGGGUAUUUUGUUGCUUUUAGUUGUACAAUCCAAAAGUCAUACCAAUGUUUCCACAGGGAUGACUGGUAUCGUAUAACACUAAAACUAGGAUUUGACAGUAGCAUGAUAAUGGCGUUCUGAGAAUCAUUUAGCCGACAUAUCAAUUUAUACAUCAGGUUUCUCAACAGAGCCUGCAAAGUGUUGACACCUGCAUUACAGAACAGCUCGCUUGCACUACACCACCUGGGUUUCUUAAGUAAUAUCCGCAUGCAGUCAUUGAAGGCAACCUGAAGCUGAUGCAUGCUUGCCUUUUUAAACUUGGCCCACAGGGGGGCAGUACAGAGGAGAGUGCAAUAGGCUCCA